This is a long non-coding RNA of Girardinichthys multiradiatus, 542 nucleotides long. RefSeq lists it as uncharacterized. The transcript has 2 exons. The record is from RefSeq and is a predicted model, not a curated record. Lineage: Eukaryota; Metazoa; Chordata; Actinopteri; Cyprinodontiformes; Goodeidae.
UUUUGUGGAUCUGGACUUUUGUUUGUAUCUGCAGUGCCUUGUUUGGUUUCUUUGAAAUCUUUUACAACAUGUUGCUGCUUAGCUCUUGUCUGCACUUUGGUCCGCCCGCAAACCACAUUAUGACAAGAAGUAGGCUGCAUGCCUAGCUUCAGCUUCAUACCUGUGGCCAUGGAUGUUAUUGGAGCACCUGAAUGAUUUUGACUGAUGUUUUCCAGGUAACUCCAACUGGGAGACACUGAGGCCACAACAGAACACACUGGAGGGACUGUGUGCUCUAUCUGUUCUGGUCUGGGAACACCUUGCAAUCAUCUUUAUUGAGCUGAAGACCAUUGUUGGGGAGAGAGAUGACUGGAGUUUCCCUGGACCUGUAAUUGUCUGGAACCGACAGGAUAAGAGGAUGACAACGAAUGGGUUGAUAAAGAAUUGAUGAAGUGACUUCAGAUGUCCCUGUUCAGGCCAAUUUUGGAUGUGUUGGUGAUUUAAAUAAGGCCUGCUGACUUAAAAUGUAAUUAAAAAAAAAAAUUUCAGUAUUUUCAUGGAAA